AAUCAACGCUGGCGGCGUGCCUAACACAUGCAAGUCGAACGAGAAAGUGGAACAAUCCAUGAGUACAGUGGCGACCGGGUGAGUAACACGUGACUAACCUACCCUAGAGUGGGGGAUAACCCCGGGAAACCGGGGCUAAUACCGCAUGACAUCGCGAGGGGAAGAUCCUUGCGAUCAAAGGAGUAAUCCGCUCAAGGAGGGGGUCGCGGCUGAGUAGUUAGUUGGUAGGGUAGCGGCCUACCAAGACGAAGAUCAGUAGCCGGCCUGAGAGGGCGCACGGCCACACUGGAACUGAAACACGGUCCAGACUCCUACGGGAGGCAGCAGUGGGGAAUUUUGCGCAAUGGGGGAAACCCUGACGCAGCAACGCCGCGUGGAGGAUGAAGUCCCUUGGGAUGUAAACUCCUUUCGAUCGGGACGAUUAUGACGGUACCGGAAGAAGAAGCACCGGCUAACUCUGUGCCAGCCGCCGCGGUAA
This 478-nucleotide ribosomal RNA is filed under the name uncultured bacterium. Its description in RNAcentral is "partial 16S ribosomal RNA". It matches the Rfam family "Bacterial small subunit ribosomal RNA", at positions 32 to 523 of the family's 1533-position model. The record is from RNAcentral.